GUGCUGCCCUGACUACUGCCCUCUGGCUCCGGCCGUUCGUACUACCCUGACCACCGCCCCUUGCCUUCCGACCGUCUAUGCUGCCCUGGCCACUGCCCCCUUCCUCCCGGUCACUCAUCGGACUACCUUCGGCAAGGGCUAUGAAGGCAAUGUAGGAGGCGGCAAGGGCCAUCGAAGGAGGAGUUGGGGAGGUUGAGGGG
RNAcentral lists this long non-coding RNA (200 nucleotides) under Elaeis guineensis (African oil palm). RNAcentral's name for it is "long non-coding RNA (EGUI_LNC019198)". The record is from RNAcentral. Lineage: Eukaryota; Viridiplantae; Streptophyta; Magnoliopsida; Arecales; Arecaceae.